This 467-nucleotide ribosomal RNA is filed under the name uncultured bacterium. Its description in RNAcentral is "partial 16S ribosomal RNA". It matches the Rfam family "Bacterial small subunit ribosomal RNA", at positions 28 to 507 of the family's 1533-position model. The record is from RNAcentral.
GACGAACGCUGGCGGCGUGCUUAACACAUGCAAGUCGAACGGAAAGGCUCCAGCUUGCUGGAGUACUCGAGUGGCGAACGGGUGAGUAACACGUGGGUAAUCUGCCCUGCACUCUGGGAUAAGCCUGGGAAACUGGGUCUAAUACUGGAUAUGACCUUUCUCCUUAUGGGGUUUGGUGGAAAGUUUUUCGGUGUAGGAUGAGCCCGCGGCCUAUCAGCUUGUUGGUGGGGUGAUGGCCUACCAAGGCGACGACGGGUAGCCGGCCUGAGAGGGUGAUCGGCCACAUUGGGACUGAGAUACGGCCCAGACUCCUACGGGAGGCAGCAGUGGGGAAUAUUGCACAAUGGGCGGAAGCCUGAUGCAGCGACGCCGCGUGAGGGAUGACGGCCUUCGGGUUGUAAACCUCUUUCAGCAGGGACGAAGCGUAAGUGACGGUACCUGCAGAAGAAGCACCGGCUAACUAUGAG